CCUACGGGAGGCAGCAGUGAGGAAUAUUGGUCAAUGGACGAGAGUCUGAACCAGCCAAGUAGCGUGAAGGAUGACUGCCCUAUGGGUUGUAAACUUCUUUUAUAUGGGAAUAAAAUAGGGUAUGCAUACCCUCUUGUAUGUACCAUAUGAAUAAGGAUCGGCUAACUCCGUGCCAGCAGCCGUGGUAAUACGGAGGAUCCGAGCGUUAUGCGGAUUUAUGGGGGUUAAGGGGCGCGUAGGUGGAUUGUAAAGUCAGUUGUGAAAGUUUGCGGCUCAAACGGAAAAUUGCAUAUGAAACUGGCAGUCUUGAGUACAGUAGAGGUAGGCGGAAUUCGUGGUGUAGCAGUGAAAUGCUUAGAUAUCGCGAAGAACUCCGGUUGCGAAGGCAGGUCACUGGACUGCAACUGACACUGAGGCUCGAAGGUGUGGGUAUCAAACGGGAUUAGAUACCCGAGUAGUC
This 460-nucleotide ribosomal RNA is filed under the name uncultured bacterium. RNAcentral's name for it is "partial 16S ribosomal RNA". It matches the Rfam family "Bacterial small subunit ribosomal RNA", at positions 338 to 795 of the family's 1533-position model. The record is from RNAcentral.